GAUCCUGGCUCAGAUUGAACGCUGGCGGCAGGCUUAACACAUGCAAGUCGAGCGGGGAAAGGUAGCUUGCUACCUGACCUAGCGGCGGACGGGUGAGUAAUGCUUAGGAAUCUGCCUAUUAGUGGGGGACAACAUUCCGAAAGGAAUGCUAAUACCGCAUACGUCCUACGGGGGAAAGCAGGGGAUCUUCGGACCUUGCGCUAAUAGAUGAGCCUAAGUCGGAUUAGCUAGUUGGUGGGGUAAAGGCCUACCAAGG
This 256-nucleotide ribosomal RNA is filed under the name uncultured bacterium. RNAcentral describes it as "partial 16S ribosomal RNA". It matches the Rfam family "Bacterial small subunit ribosomal RNA", at positions 15 to 273 of the family's 1533-position model. The record is from RNAcentral.